UCCCUGGUGGCUCAGAGGGUAAAGCAUCCGCCUGCAGUGCCGGAGGCUCAGGUUCAAUCCCUGGGUCGGGAA
This is a transfer RNA of Ovis aries (sheep), 72 nucleotides long. It matches the Rfam family "tRNA". Rfam says of the family: Transfer RNA (tRNA) molecules are approximately 80 nucleotides in length. The record is from Rfam. NCBI's taxonomy places the organism in Eukaryota, Metazoa, Chordata, Mammalia, Artiodactyla, Bovidae.